AAUCCGCCCAAGGAGGGGCUCGCGUCUGAUUAGUUAGUUGGUGAGGCAAUGGCUUACCAAGGCGACGAUCAGUAGCUGGUCCGAGAGGAUGAUCAGCCACACUGGGACUGAGACACGGCCCAGACUCCUACGGGAGGCAGCAGUGGGGAAUUUUCCGCAAUGGGCGAAAGCCUGACGGAGCAAUGCCGCGUGAAGGCUGUAAGGCCCACGGGUCAUGAACUUCUUUUCUCGGAGAAGAAACAAUGACGGUAUCUGAGGAAUAAGCAUCGGCUAACUCUGUGCCAGCAGCCGCGGUAAG
This 298-nucleotide ribosomal RNA is filed under the name uncultured organism. RNAcentral's name for it is "partial 16S ribosomal RNA". It matches the Rfam family "Bacterial small subunit ribosomal RNA", at positions 212 to 524 of the family's 1533-position model. The record is from RNAcentral.